RNAcentral lists this ribosomal RNA (366 nucleotides) under Triticum aestivum (bread wheat). RNAcentral describes it as "partial small subunit ribosomal RNA". Lineage: Eukaryota; Viridiplantae; Streptophyta; Magnoliopsida; Poales; Poaceae. The record is from RNAcentral.
AUGAUUUUGCGACUACUUUCAUUUAACAAGGCUUAUGUGUGCAUAAGUUUGUUACUGAAUCUGGGAGAUGUAGCUAAGUAUAUAAAAAAUGUGCUUCUUUGCAUUAGGCAGAUGGAACUAUUCAGUUUAUACUUGUUGUUAAUCUUCUGUGUAUUGUGUAUGGUGCAUUCCUUAUUUGGUUUACACACCACAGUGGUAACUUGCAUUUUGUCAAGGAGGUUUGGUUCUAUUUUUUUUUUUGUGAAAACAUUAGUUCUCGACUUCAAUGCCAUCUUUCGUUGUUACAGGUAUAAAGCCUUGUUUUACUAUCCUCAGGAUAAACAUGUUUCAGAUACUAAACAAUGGAACAUCCAUGCCCUUUUGUGA